This is a long non-coding RNA of Capsella rubella, 1106 nucleotides long. RefSeq lists it as uncharacterized. The transcript is spliced from 3 exons. NCBI's taxonomy places the organism in Eukaryota, Viridiplantae, Streptophyta, Magnoliopsida, Brassicales, Brassicaceae. The record is from RefSeq and is a predicted model, not a curated record.
GUUCGCAGCUGGUUGUGUGAGGAGAGGUUGUUGUACUGUUAUUCUUCUCUGUUAUUCGUCUUUAAUCAAUCUGAAUCAGAGGUGAAAGCAUGAUUCUGGCUGAUCUAAGCUUGUGAACCUUCUGAUGUGUGUUUUGAUUGUGUAGAUGGCCAUGAUUGUGUUUGUGUUUCUAUCUGUGUGUGUUUUGGUGUUGUGUAUUGCAUGUUUCAUGGUCAUGGUUCAAUGUGGUCGAGUUUUGAGCUUGGAUUUGUUGUCACGGAGCGACAAGAGGCGUUUCUAGAAGUUUUGAAGAGGUGGGUGUCGGUUACACCACCAAUGGUGAGGAGUCAGUGUCAAUCAAGACUAGGCGGGUGUCAGUCGAGACCGACAAAUGAUUUUGAGAGAUGGUGCGAUCGUGGAAUCGUUGCAACGACGAGGGUGAAGAUCUAUAAUCACUAAGUGGUAUUAUGUUUUAAUUUGUAAGACCCCAGUUUGUGGAGAAGUUUAAAUGAGUUGAUUUGGCCACGUAUGUCACCAAAGUGCACUUAUCUUUUCGGUCAAGGGUCUUCGAAGAACUUCACAGUAAAGCGUGCUUAUGCUGGAGUAGUCGAAGGAUGGGUGACCUUCAAGAAAGUCAUUGUCAGAAUUGUGAGUUAGGCCAAAACACAAGGAAAGAUCAUGUGGUGAUUUUUAAGGUCAGUAAAUAAGUCUUUAAGCCUCCUGGACGUAUCAAACCGGCCAUCAGAUAUGGAUGGGCUCGCAGGUCUAAUAAGAGGAUGUGAGGCCCAUUAAGAGAGAUUUAAUAUGACGAUGUCAGCAAUGUGGUUGGGUCAUUAUACCAAAAAUCGAGCUUGAAGCGGGUAUGUGAGAAGAUCUUAUCCUAGAUAUGGAAGUGUCCUUUAAAAUGUGGAGGAUCGCUACUACUUGGGAGAGGGGUAACGCCAAAUGUCUCAACAAAGACGAUGUGAUCGGGCUUUGUUGGGACAAAUGGAAUCGAAAAUUUGUUUGUAAGCUUUUUCGUUGAUCGUGUUCUUGUCUUUCUCUAAUUAAUUCUCUACCUGUUACUUGUUUCCCUAUGUGAGCUUGAUGAAAAAUUACUAGUACAAGUCCCAGAUGUUUGUGUUAUU